UAGGGAAUCUUCCGCAAUGGGCGAAAGCCUGACGGAGCAACGCCGCGUGAGUGAUGAAGGUCUUAGGAUCGUAAAACUCUGUUAUUAGGGAAGAACAAACGUGUAAGUAACUGUGCACGUCUUGACGGUACCUAAUCAGAAAGCCACGGCUAACUACGUGCCAGCAGCCGCGGUAAUACGUAGGUGGCAAGCGUUAUCCGGAAUUAUUGGGCGUAAAGCGCGCGUAGGCGGUUUUUUAAGUCGGAUGGGAAAGCCCACGGCUCAACCGUGGAGGGUCAUUGGAAACUGGAAAACUUGAGUGCAGAAGAGGAAAGUGGAAUUCCAUGUGUAGCGGUGAAAUGCGCAGAGAUAUGGAGGAACACCAGUGGCGAAGGCGACUUUCUGGUCUGUAACUGACGCUGAUGUGCGAAAGCGUGGGGAUCAAACA
This 427-nucleotide ribosomal RNA is filed under the name uncultured bacterium. RNAcentral's name for it is "partial 16S ribosomal RNA". It matches the Rfam family "Bacterial small subunit ribosomal RNA", at positions 355 to 774 of the family's 1533-position model. The record is from RNAcentral.